CAUAAGUUACUCCAGAGACCCCCUCGGAUCAGAUGGUACGGUCAUGCACCCCGGGUCGGAGCGGAUGGUACAGCCCGGUCGUGGCUCGGCCGCCGGUAAAGCUGGCGGGUCGGGGUCUCCGCUGAACAUCGUAUAUCCGGGUUCGGUGCCGUUAUUUAAGCGCCAACCACUCCGACAAGGCAGCGCCCGAUGAGAGACUUUAGACGGAGGACCUGCCAGCCGGGGUGAGUGGAGCUCCAUCCGAGAACAUCCAUGCUGUGAGAGGCAAUGAUCUUCGGCUGAGAGUCGGGGCAAACCGAGCUGAGCCGAACCGUGAUCGAGUCUUUGUGUCCGCACUUCGGCUCGUCUUACGUUUAUGCUGUCAGGGGGCUGAGGGAACACCUUUCGCAGAUGGUGGGUUGAAAUUGUAACUGCCUGCCCGAUUUAAUGUAUCAUUUAUACACUAUACAAAAAAAACACAAUCUUGUCAGUGUCCACCCCUAAUCCAAUCAAUGCAUAUCCUUCUGCUUUAAUUGCUUGUGUGACUUUAGUGGCUUCAGUGAGAGUAGGACUGCUGAAUCCAGGGCUUGUCCUGGAAUGUCCUGCAUCUGGGUC
Molecule: long non-coding RNA, 594 nt
Organism: Brienomyrus brachyistius
Lineage: Eukaryota; Metazoa; Chordata; Actinopteri; Osteoglossiformes; Mormyridae
Exons: 3
Source: RefSeq, a predicted model, not a curated record